AACAAUAAAGAAUUGGUGGUUCCCAAUCUUGUUUUGUUGCUGUAAAUAAUGGCAUAUGAUUAGUUAGGCAUUGUAAAUAACAACAAAGAAUUGUCGGAUAAAAAAAUAAAAGGACAUGUUCUGAGAACAUUUGGGACUGAAUGUCAUAAAUAAGAGACAUAACUAGUAUGGUGGAUCAUUAAGCUACAAGUCUUUCAAUCUUCAAUGUAAUGGAGGGCAUUUGAAGCACCUAUAAUAGGUUGGUGCUGAAUGGGACUUUUCCCACCAUCACAGGUACAUUGAUUUGAUUAGGUGUUCCAGCCAGUAUCCUAGUGGCACCUUCAAUCCUGGAAUCAGUUAAAAAACAAAAUGCAAGUUAAGAUAGAUCUACUGAAUAAAAGCAUAUAAGGCUAAUUCAUCCCUAAGUUUGAAGACAUGCAACAAGAUAAUAACUCGAAUAAACUUAGAAAAAGAAAAAAAAUCAUAAUGUCAUCUAGGAAGAACGAUGGAACGUACAUUUGGUUCCAACUAGAUUUAUUGAGCAACUUCAUCGAUUAUGAAGUCUUGUUCGUAGACGCAAGCUUGUAUAAUGCUGUAUAAAAUCCACUGUAGCAAUCCCAUCAAUAAAAGACAUGAAAAUUGCGAUGAUGGAUUCAAGUUACAGAUGAAUGUUCAGCACGCUAUGAGACUUUAGUGCCUGGGGCAAGUAAUGAUUCAGUUUCACAGGAGAGAUCUUUGAAAGAAUCUUUCAAGACGAAUAUUGUCAUACUAAUUUUUCCCCAGACAUUGAAAGAAAAAAAUGGUCUCUCUUUUUUGUGUCAUUCAUUCUUACUGAAGUCAUAUAAGUCCACCACCAAAUUGUUGGAAUGUCCACUUGUAUGAAUCCCUACAAGCACAACUAGAUUCAUUUGGAUGGGAUAAAAUUUCAAGAACACAACUGAAUCAUAAUGUAACCUGAGGUGCCAAGGCAUCCUUUAUACCUUGUCCCGAGUGCCAACUAAACUGGAUGCGUGCCAAGAGUGUUUCAUUAGAGGGAGGUGCACAAGUAUACAAGCCCAAAACAGGAGACAUAACGGAAUCUUUCAUCUUUCGUUCCAGAAGAGCCUUCCUUCUGAAUAGCUAUCGAAAAGUUACAUAUUUACUACGUUGGCUUUUCCUUUUAACAUUGGCAUUUUUGUAUUUUUAUCUUGAAAGAUCUUUCAUCACAUAAUGACCUAUCCAAAAACUUUGACGAGUUUAAAAAACUGACAGGUUGAUGAUAAUAAUUUCAAAGGGAUAGAUCAUUCAACUAGAACACCUUGUUGAGGCUACUAGGCAACUCCAAACCUCCUUUUACAAAGGCUAGAUUAAGUAAUACUUUGGAUGUGCAUCCAAGAACAAGGACCACCUGGUGGACCUAAAUUUUAAAAAAGCUAAAUGGUGCAUCUCUAAUAGAGGACUAGGGUCUUAAGGAAUGAGUCAACUGACGUAGAUCUUCUGCCAUUAGAAAUGAGAAGAAUGAUUGGAAUCCAGCGGAAAAGUAGGCAACUCUGCGAUGGGACAAUAACGCUAUUUACAUACUUGAGACUUCUCAUGACAGCAAAAGGAGCUAAAUGGGUAACAGAUUAAACACUAAAAAGUUCCAGUGCAUUCAGAAAAGAUAUGUCAUCUUGGAUAGCAUCUAUGCAUCACUUUCAGUCAUUUGGAUAUAGAUAUGUUUGCAAGAACUGCCUAACAGGUUUUAUCAUCAUGUAAAACUAUUAGAUUAUCAAGCAAGAGAGGAUGGUAAUACAAGUCUUGUCAUCAUCUAAGAGAGCUAGCUGUGGCCUUAUUGCUUAUGGCCCAGAUUAGAAAUGAAGCAUGCAUGCCUUUCUGCACCUAUGUUGAACAAGAAGUGUGCCAGAAGGUUUGAGCAGAAUGAUAUCAAUCAUGCUGCACAAAUUCUGCCCAUAUCAGUAAUUCUCUGAUCAAGAACAGCUCUUAGUAAAGGUUUUCUGAAAUUCAUUCAAGGUGCUUUUCUGAAACUUAAUUUAGUAUCUAAAGGAGCUAGAAAGAUGGAAUACCCAUGAGUUACCUAUUGAAAGAAAGAAUGGUACUUAGGCCUGCGGUUCUGGAUUCUAUAAGAAAAUGUGGGAUGGAUUAAAAAGUGUUUCUCAAUCGUAUCUCUAGAAGAAGAAAAGGAUGGUGACGGUUAAACUGGUUGAGCUGCUGUUGCCUCUUUAUCAUGGUAUUCUCAGAAAAUGAUUCAAACUUACCUGAAUCAGAAACUUGUCAAGAGUUUUAAGGCAUUUUUUGAUCGAAGUUUCAGGCAUUUAUCAUGCAAAUUUAUGUGAGUUUUUGUAAAGGUAAAAAUCAUCACUAAUUUGCUCAAAGAAAAAAGGUUCUCACCUCACUAAUAAAGCAAGCUAGUGGAUACAAAAUAUUGGUCGUAGACUAGUAGAUGGAAGGGCAUGCAUUAUCUUUCGUCAGUGGCCAACUAGUACUAAUUACCAAGUUUUCUGUCAUUUAUCUGUCACUGCAGUCAUGACCAACUUCACCAGGCUCUGGAGCCUGUGCCAUGAUUUUUCUCCUGAAAAAGAACGAGAAAGAGAGAACAAGAUUUUUGUCAAUCGAUGACUUGGAUAGAAAGACUGAAAUUGAGGCUCAAAGAUCUUUCAGAGUAAUGAAAAUGAAGGAGAAAAACUAAUUGUUUUGGAAAAUAAAUCUGGAGAUAACUUGUGAAGGGUGGAGAUCUUGGCAACUGUUUAACAACAAUAAUGUACUAAUUUAAGCUAAAGUUUUGAUCUGCCCAUUAAUCUACAAGCAUGCUUGCUGUUUGACAGAGAAAGAUAAUAAUUACUAAAGCAAACGUCUACAAUGAAAACUGAAAGGAUUAGCCUUGAAAGUGAUACCUGCACUAUAUCUUUUGACUAAACAGCUGUUGCAUUUCCUUUUGCUUUCAUGUUUUUCUUGGAGUUCCAGAUUCCUUACUUUUAGCACAAUGUUUAAUUGGCUAGAAUUACUCUUUUACAAAUACGUUUGCACUUUUCUAGUUCCUUCCUGAUGCCUUACUUUAGAAAUCAUAAUCUAAUUAAUACAUAUUAUAACUGAGAGUGGCUUAUGAGCUUGGCCUCACUUCAAGCACGAGCCGUUAUGCUUUACAGCAUUUGGUUGACUUGUAAUGUUGCCCGGAAACUGACAAACUGUGGACAAGGAAUGCUAGUUAUGCUCCACCAUGGUGGUGCAACCUAGCGUUUUUAAUUAAGUUGCCUAUUAUCAUUUCUACAUUUUAUGGGGACUUCCAUCAUCAGUACUUUGGAUUCUUUAAGUGUCUAUUUUGAAUUUGAAGAUGGCUUCCUAGCAUUCUAAUACCUGCUUACUGCCUUUUUGGCACCCCUUGUCCCCUGCCAUGGAGCGGUCUGCCCUUCCUCAAAGCGAUGCUGCACUCUUGGAGGUAAGCAAAAUGUGUUGUUGCAUCCACUGCUUCAGGAAACAUUCCCUAUAGUGCUACCUAACUUUAGAAAAGGAUGAGUAUAAAAAGAUGUACCCAAAAAAUUUGCAUCGAUGGUUAAGUAAUAUAACUGAAACAAAUGGAAGCCAUGUGCAUAUAAUCAUUCAUGAUCUGAGUUCUGCCACACUUUUAUAAUAUGAAACAUUAAAUAUUGAUGUAUAAAACUCGCUAAUAUUGGAUCGCAAACAUUCUGGUCCUACAUAGAUAUAUAAUGAAAAUAGGAGAAAUGAAUGACAGAAACAGUAGUCAUGUGCGUGCAUUGCUGUUCCUACAAUUGGUUCGGCUUGAGCCAUGACAAAUGAAAGAGUAAAGGCAGGUGCCUUACACUUCUGGCAAAUAUCAUGAUAAAAAUUAUAUACUCUUCUUUUAAAUCCAACAGUAUCAUGCAUCUAAAAUACAACAAAAUCAGUGUCGCCUAAAAAUAGAACAGUUCAAUCAAACAUGCACAAAACAAAUGAUUCAAGUGGAUCAUCAUAUUCGAUGUAGAGGUUAUUUUGACCACUAUAAAUAAAACUCGAUAUGAAGAUAUUUUGACUACUAUGAGUAUUCAAGAAGAUCACUGAACUCGAUGUGGAUCACUUAAACUACUAUAAGUAUUUAGCAAGCUCACGAGAUUCGAUGUGGAUCAUGUUGACCACUAUAGGCAUCCAAGAAAAUCACCAACCUCGAAAUGGAUCAUGUUAGCCAUUGCGGGCAUUUAGGAAGACCUCUAAACCCAAUACCGACCAGUUUGGCUAUUAAGAGCAGGGCUGAAUAGGAUUUAGGAGUAAGAUCUGCCAUAAUAGAAAAUUGAAUUGUAUAAAAAUCUUCAGAAAGUGAUAACAUGAUCAUACAAUGCUGGAUUGAGAUAAUCCUUUUUCUUUUAAAAAUCUAUAACUUUAGGCUAGCUCCUAAGGGAGUUGAAUUAGGCCAAAACUCAAUUGUUUGGACUUUAAAAUGUAUUUGAUCAAAUUAAAACUUUUCUUUUUUGAAAACAAAUUUGAUCAAAUAUUAUCUUCUAAUUCAUGAAGAAUUGGAUAGAGCCAUAGAAGACAAAGUUAGUAUAGAAGUUGAGAACUAUCUCACAUAAAAUUUUAAUAUUUUUUCAUAAAAUUUUAUAUUAAUCAUGUUUGUUUUUAGAAAGAAUUAGUCCUAUUCGAACUGGAAAGAAAAAUCUGACCCAAAUUAUUUAAAGAUAGACAUCGCAUCCAAAUCAUGCAAGGACAGAUGUCACAAUUAUAGAUA
RNAcentral lists this long non-coding RNA (4672 nucleotides) under Elaeis guineensis (African oil palm). Its description in RNAcentral is "long non-coding RNA (EGUI_LNC030786)". The record is from RNAcentral. Lineage: Eukaryota; Viridiplantae; Streptophyta; Magnoliopsida; Arecales; Arecaceae.